This 69-nucleotide transfer RNA is filed under the name Dynatosoma fuscicorne. Its description in RNAcentral is "tRNA-Gln". Lineage: Eukaryota; Metazoa; Arthropoda; Insecta; Diptera; Mycetophilidae. The record is from RNAcentral.
UAUAAUUUAGUGUAUGAUGCAUAAAAAUUUUUGAUAUUUUUGGGAAUAGUUUAAUUCUAUUAAUUAUAA